Molecule: ribosomal RNA, 539 nt
Filed under: Yamadazyma lessepsii
Lineage: Eukaryota; Fungi; Ascomycota; Pichiomycetes; Serinales; Debaryomycetaceae
Description: SSU rRNA
Rfam family: Eukaryotic small subunit ribosomal RNA
Source: RNAcentral
UGUUGUCCUUUUUUUGGCGCACUCGGCACCUUACGAGAAAUCAAAGUUUUUGGGUUCUGGGGGGAGUAUGGUCGCAAGGCUGAAACUUAAAGGAAUUGACGGAAGGGCACCACCAGGAGUGGAGCCUGCGGCUUAAUUUGACUCAACACGGGGAAACUCACCAGGUCCAGACACAAUAAGGAUUGACAGAUUGAGAGCUCUUUCUUGAUUUUGUGGGUGGUGGUGCAUGGCCGUUCUUAGUUGGUGGAGUGAUUUGUCUGCUUAAUUGCGAUAACGAACGAGACCUUAACCUACUAAAUAGUGCUGCUAGCUUUUGCUGGUAUAGUCACUUCUUAGAGGGACUAUCGUAUUUCAAGUCGAUGGAAGUUUGAGGCAAUAACAGGUCUGUGGAUGCCCUUAGACGUUCUGGGGCCGCACGCGCGCUACACUGACGGAGCCAGCGAGUAUCUACCUUGGCCGAGAGGUCUGGGAAAUCUUGUGAAACUCCGUCGUGCUGGGGAUAGAGCAUUGUAAUUAUUGCUCUUCACGAGGAAUCCUAG